AAGCUUGCUUCCCCAGUGGCGCACGGGUGAGUAACGCGUAACUGACCUACCCCAAAGUCCGGAAUAACCUCCCGAAAGGGAAGCUAAUACUGGAUGUGCAGUCUGGUCUUGUCCAGCCUGUAAAGAUUUAUUGCUUUGGGAUGGGGUUGCGUUCCAUCAGCUAGUUGGUGGGGUAAAGGCCUACCAAGGCGACGACGGAUAGCCGGCCUGAGAGGGUGGCCGGCCACAGGGGCACUGAGACACGGGUCCCACUCCUACGGGAGGCAGCAGUUAGGAAUCUUCCACAAUGGGCGAAAGCCUGAUGGAGCGACGCCGCGUGAGGGAUGAAGGUUUUCGGAUCGUAAACCUCUGAAUCAGGGACGAAAGACACUUCGGUGGGAUGACGGUACCUGAGUAAUAGCACCGGC
RNAcentral lists this ribosomal RNA (407 nucleotides) under unidentified bacterium VCT102. RNAcentral's name for it is "bacterial SSU rRNA". It matches the Rfam family "Bacterial small subunit ribosomal RNA", at positions 76 to 497 of the family's 1533-position model. The record is from RNAcentral.